UUAGCUUAAGACCUACGGGUAAUAUCAUAUGUCCGAUCAUAGUUAAACAUUUGAUAAUUGUGAUUCUUUGGCUACAAUGUUUGAAUAUUGCCAUGGGGAGAAUAUAUGAUCGGUUGCCUAAUAUUAGUUCGAAAUGAAUCUAAAUAAAUAGAUAUUUGUAUAUAGUAAAGUUGGAUAAGUAAUUGAAUAAAUUUAUUUGUUUAUUAAGCUCAAGAGCUUAGAGGAUCAAAGUUGGAUAAGGGAAAGGAAAAAGUGAUCGAAUAGCCGCCAAAAUCGUUCGACCACAUCCGAGG
Molecule: long non-coding RNA, 293 nt
Filed under: Gossypium barbadense (sea-island cotton)
Lineage: Eukaryota; Viridiplantae; Streptophyta; Magnoliopsida; Malvales; Malvaceae
Description: long non-coding RNA (GBAR_LNC004407)
Source: RNAcentral